This 465-nucleotide ribosomal RNA is filed under the name uncultured bacterium. RNAcentral's name for it is "bacterial SSU rRNA". It matches the Rfam family "Bacterial small subunit ribosomal RNA", at positions 28 to 460 of the family's 1533-position model. The record is from RNAcentral.
GAUGAACGCNGGCGGCGUGCCUAACACAUGCAAGUCGAGCGAGGGUUUGCUCAGUAUUGAGUAUUCUAAAACUAGAAUGUUCAAUUCUGAGCAAAACCAAGCGGCGGACGGGUGAGUAACGCGUGGGUAACCUGCCCUAUACACAUGGAUAACAUACUGAAAAGUUUACUAAUACAUGAUAAUAUAUAUUUGCGGCAUCGCAGAUAUAUCAAAGUGUUAGCGGUAUAGGAUGGACCCGCGUCUGAUUAGCUAGUUGGUGAGAUAACUGCCCACCAAGGCGACGAUCAGUAGCCGACCUGAGAGGGUGAUCGGCCACAUUGGAACUGAGACACGGUCCAAACUCCUACGGGAGGCAGCAGUGGGGAAUAUUGCACAAUGGGCGAAAGCCUGAUGCAGCAACGCCGCGUGAACGAUGAAGGUCUUCGGAUCGUAAAGUUCUGUUGCAGGGGAAGAUAANGACGGUNC